RNAcentral lists this ribosomal RNA (1149 nucleotides) under Triticum aestivum (bread wheat). Its description in RNAcentral is "partial small subunit ribosomal RNA". Lineage: Eukaryota; Viridiplantae; Streptophyta; Magnoliopsida; Poales; Poaceae. The record is from RNAcentral.
AUGGGCAGCCUCCAGAUCACCCACUUCCUCCCCUUCAAGCUGGAUUUUGGAUCCGGCGACUGCGCCAAGUGGAAGGACAUCAUGCGAUACGUUCUGUCCAUGUACGACGCCGAGGACCACAUCACCCACUUCACGCCGCCGCUGGAGCGUGGCGUCGUCUGGCGGAACGCCGACGUGACCAUACUCCUCUGGAUCUAUGGCACGGUCGCCGAUGAGCUGUAUGAGGUGAUCCGGGGCGCCGACAACACCGCCUACACCGCCUGGAGCAAGCUGGACUCGUUCUUCCUCGACAACCAAGCUGGCCGCGCCGUUCAUCUCGGCGCGAAGUUCCGCAACCUGCAGCAAGGCGACAUGUGCAUGGCGGAGUACUGCCGGCGCCUCAAAGCGCUAGCGGGCGCGCUCGCCGAUGUCGACGAGGAGGUCACCGAUCGCGCCCUGACUCUGCAGCUGCUUCGUGGGCUCUCCCGCAGGUAUCAGAUCAUUGCCACCGUCCUGCCGAUGCAAAACCCGUUCCCCACUUUCGUCCAGGCCCGGUCUCGGCUCCUUCUCGAGGAGAUCUCCCUCAACGCCCGCGAUCGCUUUGAGGGCACGACGGCCGUCGCCAUCGGGAUUGGCAACAGCUCGGGCAAUGCGUCCGGUGGAUCCAGCUCCGGCGGCUCCUCCUCCGCGCCCUCCGACGACCGCGACAAGGCACAGGCGGAGCGUGGCGGCUACCAGCCUCGCGGGCGCGGCCAGGGGCGUGGCACCUACCAGAACGGCAACCAGGGCGGACGUGGACAGGCUCAUCUCAUGCCGGGGGGCAGACCCCUAGAUCGGAUAUUUUGCACCGUGGGGUGCGCACUUUCCUCCAUAGGGGCGUGCUCCCUGGGUGCCUCCCAACGCCGCUGGCGUGCUCGGGCCUCGCCCCGGCAACCCUGCUCACGCCUACCCCAUGACCUACCACGGCACGGCUUCUUCUUCGACUCAUCCUCCGCCGCCGCAGCCGUCGUGGGAUCAGGCCGGCCUGAUCGCCGCCAUGCACAACCUGUCUAUGCAGCAGCAGCGCAGCCCGGGGGGCAGGGCGACUGGUACCUCGACUCUGGCGCUUCCGCGCACGUGACUGGGAACCCAGGAUCUGGCCACCCGGACCCCGCUCAUGAGCUGCAGUAG